CAUGCGCAGUGAACGUGUUUACACUACAGGAAACAAUCCCUUGCACUGCCUCGGCGCACCUCCCAGCACAGCAGGGAAAGCACUGAUGUUUGGAGGUAUUUUCCCGCCAUCUUUUUCGCAUAAAGAACACGGAAAGGCCUUCUGGACGGCAGCAUGUAAUCGUUCUUGUUCGCCUAAUGGAAAGGGGUGCGUUUCAGGCAUGCAAAACAGGUUUCCCUUGGACAAGACCUUUACUGGUGGGGGCCCCUUUGUGGUGGGGGCCCCGGAGCAAGUGCCCCGUCUGCCCUGCCCUAAAUCCGGCGCUGGAAGAAAGUAGUAAAAUCAAGAAGCCCUCGUACUCAAGGAAAUGUCGUCGUUUAUUCCAGAAUACAGCCACGAAUACAUGUCGGAACAAAACUUUA
Ornithodoros turicata is the source of this 401-nucleotide long non-coding RNA. RefSeq lists it as uncharacterized. The transcript has 2 exons. Lineage: Eukaryota; Metazoa; Arthropoda; Arachnida; Ixodida; Argasidae. The record is from RefSeq and is a predicted model, not a curated record.